GGGAAGCCGGUGGAAAUCCGGCGCGGUCGCGCCACUGUGAUCGCCGGGCGCCAGCCUGUCGAGAGUCAGACC
This 72-nucleotide non-coding RNA is filed under the name Sphingomonas taxi. Lineage: Bacteria; Pseudomonadati; Pseudomonadota; Alphaproteobacteria; Sphingomonadales; Sphingomonadaceae. The record is from RNAcentral.